AACAAACGCUGGCGGCGUGCCUAAUACAUGCAAGUCGAACGGGGAAAGCUUUCGGGUGAGUACUAGUGGCGCACGGGUGAGGAACGCGUGGAUAAUCUGCCUUAGAGUGGGGGAUAACUAGUCGAAAGAUUAGCUAAUACCGCAUAAGACCACGAGAGCUGCGGCUUUUGAGGUCAAAGGUUUUUCGCUCUAAGAUGAGUCCGCGUAAGAUUAGCUAGUUGGUGAGGUAACGGCUCACCAAGGCGACGAUCUUUAACUGGUCUGAGAGGAUGAUCAGUCACACUGGAACUGAGACACGGUCCAGACUCCUACGGUAGGCAGCAGUAGGGAAUAUUGCACAAUGGAGAAAACUCUGAUGCAGCGACGCCGCGUGAGUGAUGAAGGCCUUCGGGUCGUAAAGCUCUGUCGCAGGGGAAUAACACAAUGAAGGUACCCUGUAAGAAAGGAUCGGCUAACUUCGUG
This 462-nucleotide ribosomal RNA is filed under the name uncultured bacterium. Its description in RNAcentral is "partial 16S ribosomal RNA". It matches the Rfam family "Bacterial small subunit ribosomal RNA", at positions 29 to 507 of the family's 1533-position model. The record is from RNAcentral.